UACGUAGGGGGCGAGCGUUGUUCGGAAUUACUGGGCGUAAAGCGAGUGUAGGCGGUCCGAUAAGUCGGGUGUGAAAGCCCUGGGCUCAACCCAGGAAGUGCACUCGAAACUGCCGGGCUAGAGUAUCGGAGAGGUUGGUGGAAUUCUCGGUGUAGAGGUGAAAUUCGUAGAUAUCGAGAGGAACACCGGUGGCGAAGGCGGCUAUCUGGACAGUGACUGACGCUGGGACGCGAAAGCGUGGGGAGCAAACAGG
Molecule: ribosomal RNA, 253 nt
Filed under: uncultured bacterium
Lineage: Bacteria
Description: partial 16S ribosomal RNA
Rfam family: Bacterial small subunit ribosomal RNA
Source: RNAcentral